CGGGCUGCUGGUGGCCGCUGGUGGCGGGUGCGUCAUGGCAAUGACCACAUGUCUAGAACUCUGAGGUCCAG
Molecule: small nucleolar RNA, 71 nt
Organism: Lepus europaeus (European hare)
Lineage: Eukaryota; Metazoa; Chordata; Mammalia; Lagomorpha; Leporidae
Product: small nucleolar RNA SNORD113/SNORD114 family
Exons: 1
Source: RefSeq, a predicted model, not a curated record